AGCGGCGGACGGGUGAGUAACGCGUGGGUAACCUGCCUCAUACAGGGGGAUAACAGUUGGAAACGGCUGCUAAUACCGCAUAAGUGCACAGUACCGCAUGGUACGGUGUGAAAAACUCCGGUGGUAUGAGAUGGACCCGCGUCUGAUUAGCUUGUUGGCGGGGUAACGGCCCACCAAGGCGACGAUCAGUAGCCGACCUGAGAGGGUGACCGGCCACAUUGGGACUGAGACACGGCCCAA
This 240-nucleotide ribosomal RNA is filed under the name uncultured bacterium. Its description in RNAcentral is "partial 16S ribosomal RNA". It matches the Rfam family "Bacterial small subunit ribosomal RNA", at positions 94 to 334 of the family's 1533-position model. The record is from RNAcentral.